Prinia subflava (tawny-flanked prinia) is the source of this 2583-nucleotide long non-coding RNA. RefSeq lists it as uncharacterized. The record is from RefSeq and is a predicted model, not a curated record. The transcript is spliced from 2 exons. NCBI's taxonomy places the organism in Eukaryota, Metazoa, Chordata, Aves, Passeriformes, Cisticolidae.
UGAGGGGAGUGGUUUCUAUGCAAAGAUUAACUGUUAGAAGUUUAUCACAAUUAAUAUCAGUAACAGAAAGAGAGGAAUUGCAGAUAGACUAGGAAAACCCACUAAUUUUGAUGGAUAACCAUCCAGCUGGGACAUUGUCAAAUCAGCUGAUCCUGUUGUAACUCAGGUGAUUUAAAAAACUGACUGAAAUAAUUUCCAAGCUACUAACAACUGUUUUUGAGCAUACACUAGAGAAUAGUGAAAUUCAAGAGGCUGAAUUUUAGCAAUUAUAGAGCCUAUGUUCAGGAAAAAGAAAGUGUCAGGGAUUUGAAGAGGAAUAAUCUUAACUUCAGUUCCUGGAAAAGUACUGGAACAAUAAUCAGCUAAACUAUUUGUAAGCACUUGGAAGAUAACAGGGAGCAGGCUGAGAUUGUAGGCACUGCAGCUCAGUCCCGAGUGGCACAACACUAUCCAUGAGCAGAGCAAGGACUGGAACAGGCUGUCUGAGGACAUUGUGGACUCUCUGACACUGGAAACUGAGGAGACCAGCAUUAGACAAUCACCUGCCAAGAAGACUUUGGAUAUAGUCAGUCUUCUUGCGGAGAAAGAUGUGGUGACUGUGAGGUUUCUUUCACUCUGUUUUCCAUGGGCUAUGAUAAAUAUAAGCUAACAGUAAAACACUGUAUUUUUGCCCUUUAAAUUCAGUAUGUGGAAAAUUUUUCUGAAACAAGAUUUUCAUAGUAUCUUGUUGCUAAAGAGACCACAUUUUAGGCAAGGAAAAUGGAGCAGUUGAAAACAUCCAUAAUGUCUUCAGUGCCUGCUGUGUUACACUGAGAAAUAAAACAAAAUGUUCCGAAACUAUAGAGUAUAGCACAUAGUUUGGUUAGUUCAUUUGGAUGUGGCUUUCAACAACCAUAUACUUAGUGGAAGUAUCUUAUAAGCUUCAGGGGAUUUACUAGCCACCAGGGAUAACUGGACUUUCUUAUUGAAAGAGAUAGGAUCUAACUGCCUAAGCAAUGCCACGGGCUGUCACUUUGGUGAGGAGACCUCUAAAUUAAGAGUGACAGGGAAGGGAAAGGAUGAUCAGCAAUAAAGUGAGGAAGUGAUGGAGUGUUAGAGCAAAGGUUAUGGUGUGAUACAAAGCAAUCCAGGAGGUUUCUGAAGUGCAUUGAUUACAUGGGUAAUCCCUACGGGUGCAUGGUCUACUGUACUUGCAAACAAAGAUCUUCUAGAGAAUGUGGGGAAUGGGGACAACUUCUGCUGCAGCAAGCAUGAAACAUCAGAGUUCAGGAUACUAAGACAAGGGAAUAAGACAAAAAGCAGUGUCAUGGUCCUGAAUUUCAGGAGAAAAACUUUGACCUGUUCAGAUACCCACUUCUGAAGAUAAAAGGAGACCACGUGAGCUGGUAGAUAUUCAAGAAUUACCUUCUUCCAGCUCAAGAAACUUCCAUAUCCAUGUACUUGAAUUUAGGCAAAGACAUAAGCUGGCCUGCAUGACUGAGCAAAUGAUCUUCAUAAAACUCAGAAACAAAGGAAGGAUGGAAGCAAGGGCAGGAAGGAAUAUGCAGACAUCUUAAGUGUUCAAGGAAAGAGCUAGACAAACCAAAAUCCACCUGAAGUUUUAAAUUCAGAGCUUUUUUAAGAGUACAUUGUCCAUUAGACACAAUCAUUCAGCUCUGAAGAGACAUAUCUAAUCUCAAGGAUUAUCUCAACUAAUUUGUGAGAAAUGCAAAAAAAUCUCAAAAUCUAUGAAGUAUCACUUCAGAACAGAAUUGGGUUUUAACUUCACGUGUAUGAGUAUAUUCCCUUUGGACGUCUCCACAGAAAUUAGUUAUUCUGAAAGCAUCUUUCCAUUAAUAUACGGGUACAAUUCUUGCUCCACAACUCAGCUAGUUCAUGGUACUCAUAUUAAGUAGGAAACAUAGUUUAUUUUCUUAUGAUCCAUGAAAUUUUUCGUUUUUCUUUGUAUCCCACUUGAGAACACACUAACCAUUUUAGAGAAUUCCUGGUAUUAAAUCAACUUUCAGCAAUAAGUAGUAAGUUGACUUUUUAAAAAAGAAUAUUCUUUUAAAAGGUUCAUGAAGACAAGAACCUAUAUUCUGUUUAGAAAAAGUAGGGCAGAAGCCUUGCUUACAAGUAUAACAGAGAAGUACAACGAAAGAUGACAUUUAGAACCUAAAAGCAGAAUAACAGAGGCAGGAGUAUUAUACUAUUUUACCAGGGGAGUGUUACUGACUACUGAAACAGGUUUUAGUGGUGGGAAGAACUUGUUACCAUAAACACCUCUAAAUUAAGACUGAGUGACUUUCUAUGGCAGGUUGCAGACAUGACAAAGCAAUCUUUAGGUGCAUAAAUUAGGAAAUUAUUAUGCUGAAGUGUUUGUAUUUUAUGCACACUUUCUUUUGGGUCCAAUCUCAAAAGUUAAACAGUUUUUCUCCUGGUGAAAGGCCUGCAGUAGUGUUCCAACAAGACCACCCCAAAUGCAGUGUGAAUACAAGGUCCUCCAGCACAUGUAUGGUACAGGCCCAAGACCAUUAUCUUUUCACUACCAGAAAAAUUGUUGGCAUAAGGUCCAGGAACCAUAAUAAAGCACAGUAAAUCAAA